Molecule: ribosomal RNA, 2228 nt
Filed under: Salmonella enterica
Lineage: Bacteria; Pseudomonadati; Pseudomonadota; Gammaproteobacteria; Enterobacterales; Enterobacteriaceae
Description: partial 23S ribosomal RNA
Rfam family: Bacterial large subunit ribosomal RNA
Source: RNAcentral
GGUGUGACUGCGUACCUUUUGUAUAAUGGGUCAGCGACUUAUAUUCUGUAGCAAGGUUAACCGAAUAGGGGAGCCGGAGGGAAACCGAGUCUUAAUUGGGCGUUAAGUUGCAGGGUAUAGACCCGAAACCCGGUGAUCUAGCCAUGGGCAGGUUGAAGGUUGGGUAACACUAACUGGAGGACCGAACCGACUAAUGUUGAAAAAUUAGCGGAUGACCUGUGGCUGGGGGUGAAAGGCCAAUCAAACCGGGAGAUAGCUGGUUCUCCCCGAAAGCUAUUUAGGUAGCGCCUCGUGAAUUCAUCUCCGGGGGUAGAGCACUGUUUCGGCUAGGGGGCCAUCCCGGCUUACCAACCCGAUGCAAACUGCGAAUACCGGAGAAUGUUAUCACGGGAGACACACGGCGGGUGCUAACGUCCGUCGUGAAGAGGGAAACAACCCAGACCGCCAGCUAAGGUCCCAAAGUCAUGGUUAAGUGGGAAACGAUGUGGGAAGGCCCAGACAGCCAGGAUGUUGGCUUAGAAGCAGCCAUCAUUUAAAGAAAGCGUAAUAGCUCACUGGUCGAGUCGGCCUGCGCGGAAGAUGUAACGGGGCUAAACCAUGCACCGAAGCUGCGGCAGCGACACUGUGUGUUGUUGGGUAGGGGAGCGUUCUGUAAGCCUGUGAAGGUGGCCUGUGAGGGUUGCUGGAGGUAUCAGAAGUGCGAAUGCUGACAUAAGUAACGAUAAAGCGGGUGAAAAGCCCGCUCGCCGGAAGACCAAGGGUUCCUGUCCAACGUUAAUCGGGGCAGGGUGAGUCGACCCCUAAGGCGAGGCCGAAAGGCGUAGUCGAUGGGAAACAGGUUAAUAUUCCUGUACUUGGUGUUACUGCGAAGGGGGGACGGAGAAGGCUAUGUUGGCCGGGCGACGGUUGUCCCGGUUUAAGCGUGUAGGUGUGUGUUCCAGGUAAAUCCGGUUCACUUUAACACUGAGGCGUGAUGACGAGGCACUACGGUGCUGAAGCAACAAAUGCCCUGCUUCCAGGAAAAGCCUCUAAGCAUCAGGUAACAUCAAAUCGUACCCCAAACCGACACAGGUGGUCAGGUAGAGAAUACCAAGGCGCUUGAGAGAACUCGGGUGAAGGAACUAGGCAAAAUGGUGCCGUAACUUCGGGAGAAGGCACGCUGACACGUAGGUGAAGUGAUUUACUCAUGGAGCUGAAGUCAGUCGAAGAUACCAGCUGGCUGCAACUGUUUAUUAAAAACACAGCACUGUGCAAACACGAAAGUGGACGUAUACGGUGUGACGCCUGCCCGGUGCCGGAAGGUUAAUUGAUGGGGUCAGCGCAAGCGAAGCUCCUGAUCGAAGCCCCGGUAAACGGCGGCCGUAACUAUAACGGUCCUAAGGUAGCGAAAUUCCUUGUCGGGUAAGUUCCGACCUGCACGAAUGGCGUAAUGAUGGCCAGGCUGUCUCCACCCGAGACUCAGUGAAAUUGAACUCGCUGUGAAGAUGCAGUGUACCCGCGGCAAGACGGAAAGACCCCGUGAACCUUUACUAUAGCUUGACACUGAACAUUGAGCCUUGAUGUGUAGGAUAGGUGGGAGGCUUUGAAGUGUGGACGCCAGUCUGCAUGGAGCCGACCUUGAAAUACCACCCUUUAAUGUUUGAUGUUCUAACGUGGACCCGUAAUCCGGGUUGCGGACAGUGUCUGGUGGGUAGUUUGACUGGGGCGGUCUCCUCCUAAAGAGUAACGGAGGAGCACGAAGGUUGGCUAAUCCUGGUCGGACAUCAGGAGGUUAGUGCAAUGGCAUAAGCCAGCUUGACUGCGAGCGUGACGGCGCGAGCAGGUGCGAAAGCAGGUCAUAGUGAUCCGGUGGUUCUGAAUGGAAGGGCCAUCGCUCAACGGAUAAAAGGUACUCCGGGGAUAACAGGCUGAUACCGCCCAAGAGUUCAUAUCGACGGCGGUGUUUGGCACCUCGAUGUCGGCUCAUCACAUCCUGGGGCUGAAGUAGGUCCCAAGGGUAUGGCUGUUCGCCAUUUAAAGUGGUACGCGAGCUGGGUUUAGAACGUCGUGAGACAGUUCGGUCCCUAUCUGCCGUGGGCGCUGGAGAACUGAGGGGGGCUGCUCCUAGUACGAGAGGACCGGAGUGGACGCAUCACUGGUGUUCGGGUUGUCAUGCCAAUGGCACUGCCCGGUAGCUAAAUGCGGAAGAGAUAAGUGCUGAAAGCAUCUAAGCACGAAACUUGCCCCGA